This 437-nucleotide ribosomal RNA is filed under the name uncultured Oscillospiraceae bacterium. RNAcentral's name for it is "partial 16S ribosomal RNA". It matches the Rfam family "Bacterial small subunit ribosomal RNA", at positions 341 to 792 of the family's 1533-position model. The record is from RNAcentral. Lineage: Bacteria; Bacillati; Bacillota; Clostridia; Eubacteriales; Oscillospiraceae.
ACGGGAGGCAGCAGUGGGGAAUAUUGGGCAAUGGGCGAAAGCCUGACCCAGCAACGCCGCGUGAAGGAAGAAGAUUUUCGGAUUGUAAACUUCUUUUAUGAGGGACGAAGGACGUGACGGUGCCCCAUGAAUAAGCCACGGCUAACUACGUGCCAGCAGCCGCGGUAAUACGUAGGUGGCGAGCGUUAUCCGGAUUUACUGGGUGUAAAGGGCGCGUAGGCGGGGUGACAAGUCAGAUGUGAAAUCUAUGGGCUCAACCCAUAAACUGCAUUUGAAACUGCCACUCUUGAGUGCUGGAGAGGUAGACGGAAUUCCUUGUGUAGCGGUGAAAUGCGUAGAUAUAAGGAAGAACACCAGUGGCGAAGGCGGUCUACUGGACAGUAACUGACGCUGAGGCGCGAAAGCGUGGGGAGCAAACAGGAUUAGAUACCCUGGUA